AUUUCUUUGACUGUCAUAUUCUCAUCCGCUCCCAGUGCCAGUACUGUCCAAUACUCUUGGCAACACAUAUGGCCAAUAACAUGCUGAACUGGAACCACGUAACUAAGACAAAUUCUUGUGUUUCGUAAGCAUUGUUUGAUGAUAACAUGCUGAACUGAACUGUCCUUUGCAGUAAACACUAUCCAGCAGGAUAACAUUCCAUGUAAGAAAAAUGAAAGUUCACAAUACCACAAUGCUUUUUAUUUGUGUGCUUGUUCAGCAUGCAAAAUUUAAGUUCCAACUUUUGACGUCAUUUCAACUUUGCUGCGUUCUUUCUUCUUAAUAGACAACCAAACAUUCAAAUAAACUCUAGGGGCUUGUCAAACGAAAAAUUAUAAUAUCCAGCACAUACAAUUUAUGAAAGUUUCAGUUGAGGCUUUACCUUGAUCAGACAGAAUUUUCUUCUUCCAAGGAUGCACAUCCUAGUAUAGAGCCACAAGCUCGCCCACACAUGGGUCUAGCUUCCUUCCAUUUCAAUGGCCUGACCAGUGGAUUGCAUACCCUCACCAAACCCAAUCUCACAAUGUCAAAUCUCCCAGUUCCAGCAUCUUCCCACUUCAGAACCUUUCCACCCAAAAUAUACAAUUCCUCUCUUAAGGCUGCAAAACCAUAACCAAAGGCUUCCAAUGCCCGCGCAUGGUUAUGAAGAAUGACUGAAGGAAUUGCACCAACAAUAUACCAUCCUCCUUUUUCAGAAUCCCUUGUUUUAAUCAAGCUUUCACCCCAAUCAACAACUGUAUAUACCCGACUAUCCGCCAUGACCUGAACUGAGAAUUGCAUUGCCCUUGAGAAAGGCCAGAUAUCCUCUGCUGUGCUCCAUGUUUUUUCUGAUAGAUUAAAAACUUGAGAUACAUUCACGUCUGACAGGCCUACCUGGUCACUCAGAACAUGCAGUUUGCCUUUAUAUGAUAAGCCUAAGCAGUCCACCUGUGGGUUGGGCAUUGGUGGCAAUUCCUCCCAUUUGUCUAUUAGCGGAUCAUAAACCUCAGCAAGGGCAAGUCCUCUAGUACAAGACAAGUUGCGCCCCCCAGCAACAUAAACCUUACCACCGAUAACACUGCAUGCAAAAUGAGAACGCGGUGUUCGCAUGCUUGCCAUGCUUUUCCACUCUUUCUUAAAUGGAUCAAACUGCAGGACAUAAUCAGUUAUCAAAGGCUUUUGAUGGGGAAGUGAUGAAUCUUGUGGUGCAUAGGACCCACCAAUCACUAGGAGUCGAUUAUAAACACAAACACAAGAAAACCCAGAAUGAUGCCAGUCAGCAUAAUCCCCCGAAAACUUUGGCAGGGGAUGCCACCUAUCAGCAUCAGGAUCAUAGGCAAUCCACUGGUUGUUAGACUGUUCUGUAAGAGCAAACAGCCAAUUUCCACACCACCCUUCUUUAGCUUUAUAGUGUGCAUAUUCUGAGCUACGAAUUAAAUAUCUCCACCUCUUUGAGACAGUUUCAAGCAGCCCAUGGUGCCCAUGGGAUACUUUUGCAAGACAUCGCAAAGCCAGAUCAUCUGGCAGUCCUGGGAUGAUAGGCUGAUCUACAGAUUCCAUAGAUGAAGCGCAAAAACAAGAAAUGAAAACCUCGAAGACGUUGGUCGCGCUGAAAAGUUUAAGAAGAGAAGAAGAAUCUGGAAGGCAAGGCCAUAACAAUGUU
RNAcentral lists this unclassified non-coding RNA (1681 nucleotides) under Hevea brasiliensis (rubber tree). Lineage: Eukaryota; Viridiplantae; Streptophyta; Magnoliopsida; Malpighiales; Euphorbiaceae. The record is from RNAcentral.